GCGAAUUCACAAAAGUCCAUAUCACGAAGAUAAAUCCAAUUUUCUCAUCUCCCCUGCAAGCAAUCUGUAGGAGCUCAUUGAUGUUCGUGCAUCCACGAAGAUAAAGCAACUUCAUCAGAUUUUUCAGGUUUCUCAACGUAUGAGGGAGAUUCUGGAGCCUCUUGUACUUUGACAUGUCAAGAAAAACAAGACUAAGCUUAUCACCUAUCGAUGACGACGGCUUUUUUAUUUCUUAAGAAUUGAUUUAUCGCUUACUCUGCUUUUUGAUUAUGAAUGUAUUCAUUUGCCAUCAAUGUCGUCUUAGCUCAGUAGUGGAGCGUCUGGAACGUGGAGGUAGGUUCAAUCUCCGAAUACGGCAUUUUCCUCUGUUUUUGAGUUAUAUUAAUAAAGGUUUGUCAUCUUUUGUGAUUGCCUGGUUAGAUCUCGAUCUUUCUUUUUAUGAAAUGAUGAUACCUCAAAGAAUAUUUUAACUCUGAUCUCCACUCCAAUCACCUUUUCCAUGACCUUAAUUCGCAUUGUGACAAUCCACACAUCUCCUCAGGUUCCUCAACACAUGCAUCGCUCUUUCUCCAUUUUGCCAUUCAGAUUCAGAACCCCGAAAGCAACCGCUAGAACGGAAACCAAUAUAACAAACAAGAGAACAUUUAAGUCCAAGAAACGACAUCUUCAUACUCUCUACCAUCAAACACCAAUCUCUCCUUCUCAACACAACCACAUUUGGAAAACAAAUCAAUGAAUGAAUUAGCAAGACAAUUAUCUGAAACAUGUCCAUGUCGAACAAUAGCAUACCUCCUUGGCUUUUGAUAGAUACGGAUUCAACUUGCCUGGUAUCGAACAUGUCGUACGUGUGCAUAUUGAAAAUUUCUCAAACGCAAGCUUGUGUUUACAUACUUAAAAGAUCAAAUGAGAAGAUAGUUUUGCCAUUAACGUAGAAAGUCGAAACCGUGCUACCGAAAAACAGAGUGGCUACUGGUGGGAAUCAUGAGUGACCAAAAGAGCGCCAAGUAACGUCUCGACCGUUGCAAAAAUUAACGUCUUGGCUACCAUUGUCUUAUUCCUCCCAAGGAACGACACCGUUUUGUUUUCAUAUACAUUACAUAUAUACAGUAUAUAUAUACAUAAAUUAGGUACGGCAUCUGCACUUUUUCGUCAAAUUUUCAUCAGUAUAUAUCAGGAAAUGUAUGAUGUAAAUUGUAAAGAUAUGAAAUAAGAGAGAGAAAACAUUUUUGAAAAUUUGUUUACGUAUUACUAUAUUUCUUGACGGUGUACGUUGACCCAAAAAAAUGUAUAUAAAUUCUCUGGACGGUGUGUAUGUACGCAUGUCUAAUCUAUACCGUAUUCGGCUGGUCCAAAUAAUGUAGUUCACUUUUAAAAGGAAAAGAAAAAUCAAAUAUUUUCUGAUCGUUCGCCAGCCAAAUUAAUUUCAAAUGAAAAAUAUAACAAUGGGUUCAGGAAAAAGAACAACAGUGGGUUACUUACUUGAAUAAUAAUUACACUUAGAUUUGAGGAUGAUAUUUGAAUCCCGACUCUAAAGAGCUAGUAACAGUUUUGAAGGGAGAGGAAGUAUUGAACAUCAUCUUUUAUUUUGAGGAGUUUCAGUGUUAAGCAAGAGGAGAAAAUGGAGUGGGUGAUAGAAGUAUAUUGCUAUUAAAUAAAAAACAAGUUCAGGUAGAUUAUAUUGUGGUAUAUCAUGCUGACUUAAUGUCUGCAAAGAUAAACAAUUUGUAUUUUCUAC
This 1735-nucleotide long non-coding RNA is filed under the name Eutrema salsugineum. Its description in RNAcentral is "long non-coding RNA (ESAL_LNC000015)". The record is from RNAcentral. Lineage: Eukaryota; Viridiplantae; Streptophyta; Magnoliopsida; Brassicales; Brassicaceae.